CGGAGUGUGGUAUAGUGGUAUUACGUGCGCUUCGGGUGCGUAUAACCCGGGUUCGAUUCCCGGCACUCCGACCA
Molecule: transfer RNA, 74 nt
Filed under: Candidatus Moraniibacteriota bacterium
Lineage: Bacteria; Candidatus Moraniibacteriota
Description: tRNA-Pro
Rfam family: tRNA
About the family: Transfer RNA (tRNA) molecules are approximately 80 nucleotides in length.
Source: RNAcentral